RNAcentral lists this ribosomal RNA (508 nucleotides) under Moneuplotes crassus. RNAcentral's name for it is "partial Bacterial small subunit ribosomal RNA". It matches the Rfam family "Bacterial small subunit ribosomal RNA", at positions 12 to 511 of the family's 1533-position model. Lineage: Eukaryota; Ciliophora; Spirotrichea; Euplotida; Euplotidae. The record is from RNAcentral.
UUUGAUCCUGGCUCAGAACGAACGUUAGCGGUGUGGAUUAGGCAUGCAAGUCGUGCGCGAAAGCUCCCUUCGGGGAGCGAGUAGAGCGGCGCAAGGGUGAGUAACACGUAAUCAACGUACCCCUGAGAUCGGAAUAACCAGUGGAAACGCUGGCUAAUGCCGAAUGGUCUCCGGAGGCGGCAUCGCCACCGGGGUAAACGGCCGUUUAGGCUGCUUGGGGAGCGGGUUGCGGCCUAUUAGCUUGUUGGUGGGGUAACGGCCUACCAAGGCGAUGAUGGGUAGCGGGUCUGAGAGGAUGAUCCGUCACACUGGGACUGAGACACUGCCCAGACUCCUACGGGAGGCUGCAGUCGAGAAUCUUCCGCAAUGGGCGAAAGCCUGACGGAGCGACACCGCGUGCAGGAUGAAGGCUCUCGGGUUGUAAACUGCUGUCACGCUAUAGGAAUGGUCGCAUGGAAACAUGUGGAUUGACCAAAGCGAAAGGAAGCACCGGCUAACUCCGUGCCAG